GAUGAACGCUGGCGGCGUGCCUAACACAUGCAAGUCGAGCGCGAGUUUGAGGAUUGAAGCUUCGGCAGAGAGAACCAAACAAAAGCGGCGGACGGGUGAGUAACGCGUGGGCAACCUGCCCCAUACAGAGGGAUAGCCACUGGAAACGGUGAUUAAUACCUCAUAAGACCACAGUAUCGCAUGGUACGGAGGUCAAAGAUUUAUCGGUAUGGGAUGGGCCCGCGUCUGAUUAGCUAGUUGGUAAGGUAAAGGCUUACCAAGGCGACGAUCAGUAGCCGACCUGAGAGGGCGGACGGCCACACUGGAACUGAGACACGGUCCAGACUCCUACGGGAGGCAGCAGUGGGGAAUAUUGCACAAUGGGCGCAAGCCUGAUGCAGCAACGCCGCGUGAGUGAAGAAGGCCUUCGGGUCGUAAAGCUCUGUCCUAUGGGAAGAAAAAAAUGACGGUACCAUAGGAGGAAGCCCCGGCUAACUACGUGCCAGCAGCCGCGGUAA
Molecule: ribosomal RNA, 497 nt
Filed under: uncultured bacterium
Lineage: Bacteria
Description: partial 16S ribosomal RNA
Rfam family: Bacterial small subunit ribosomal RNA
Source: RNAcentral